UAGCGAGUAUGGUGGGUGAGAAACCCGCCUACCGGAAGCCCGAGGUUUCCCGCGCUCUGUGCAUCAGCGCGGGGUUAGCCGGGCCUAAGCUGAGGCCGAAAGGCGUAGGCGAUGGGGAGCCGGUUGAUAUUCCGGCGCCACCCCGUCUGCGCGACCGCGGAAACGCGGUCAGACCGCUCCGGUGACGCGUGCUCCCUGGGUGGGCGUGGGACUGGUCGUCCACGUUCUUCGGCCCGGCCACGGUCUGGCCGGGCCCGGAGAAGAGCCCUCAGGCGAUCCGUCUGGGGAGGGCGCCGAGAAAAGCCGUGGCGGCAGCGGACGGGGUGCCCGUACCGCAAACCGACACAGGUGGGCGAGGGCGAGUGCCCACAGGUAGCCGAGCGACACCUCGCUAAGGAACUCGGCAAGAGUGCCCCCGACCUGCGGGUGGGGGCUGCCGUGGCGGUCGGUCGUCGGCCGGCUCGAUCCCGGUCGGCGACGGGCCGCCGGCGGCCGCAGUGAACGCGCCGGGGCGUCUGUUUACAAAAAACACCGGUCCCUGCUCAAGCCGUAAGGCGCUGUAUAGGGGCUGCCGCCUGCUCAGCGCCGGGACCUAAGGCUGGUCGGCUCGACCACGAGCGUCGGGUUGACCCCGAAACCCCGGUGUAGCUGCGGUGGUAACCAUGACCACCGGAAGGUAGCGAAAUGCCUUGGCGGCUAAAUACCGCCGUGAACGAACGGCUGAACGACCCCGGCACUGUCUCAGCGAGGCCCUCGGCGAAACUAAAGGCCCCGUGAAAAUGCGGGGGACCCGCACCCGGACACCAAGACCCCGUGGGACUUUACUGGAGCCUGGUAUGGGGCCCACGCGCCCUCACCCGGCCGGUGGACGGCCGGGGACCGUGCCAGGUGGCCAGUUUAGCUGGAGCGGCUGCCUCCGAAAAUGUACCGGAGGCGUCCAAAGGUCCCCUCAACACGGAUGGAAAUCGUGGGGAGCGUGCAAGGGCUAAUAGUCCAAGGGGGCCUGACUGUGAGGGCGACCGCCCGAGCAGGGCCGAAAGGCGGGCCUAGUGAAGCUUGGGGGUCCACGUAGGUGGCCCCUGGCGGCAUCGGGUCAAAGUUCCCCGGGGAUAAGAGGUCAGUCGCGCCCGAGAGACCCCAUCGACGGCGCGGUUCGAUCCUCCGAUGUCGGCUCGCCUCAUCCUGGGGCUGAAGCCGGUCCCAAGGGUUGGGGUGUUCACCCAUGAAAGAGGCAUGUGAGCUGGACUUAGACCGGCGUGAGCCAGGUCGAAUCUUUAUCCGGUGCGGGGGUGAGGAGGCUUGCGGGGUGGGGGAACCGCCGGCGUACCGGUUGUGAUGCCCGUCGCAUCGCCGGGUAACCAACGUUCCUCAGGGAUAAGCGCUGAACGCAUCUAAGUGCGAAGCCCGCCCCAACACGAGGCCUCCGGCCCACAGGGCUAAGGCCCCAGGGAGACGACCUGGUUGAUAGGGGGGAGGUCGACAGUCGGCAACGACUGCAGCUGACCCCUCCUAAUGGCCGAGCGCUUGGCCC
This 1531-nucleotide ribosomal RNA is filed under the name Chloroflexota bacterium. RNAcentral describes it as "Chloroflexi bacterium (sediment metagenome) partial 23S ribosomal RNA". It matches the Rfam family "Bacterial large subunit ribosomal RNA", at positions 1307 to 2925 of the family's 2925-position model. The record is from RNAcentral. Lineage: Bacteria; Bacillati; Chloroflexota.